GAUGAAGAACGCAGCGAAAUGCGAUAAGUAGUGUGAAUUGCAGAAUUCAGUGAAUCAUCGAAUCUUUGAACGCACAUUGCGCCCCUUGGUAUUCCAUGGGGCAUGCCUGUUCGAGCGUCAUUUGUACCUUCAAGCUCUGCUUGGUGUUGGGUGUUUGUCUCGCCUCUGCGUGUAGACUCGCCUCAAAACAAUUGGCAGCCGGCGUAUUGAUUUCGGAGCGCAGUACAUCUCGCGCUUUGCACUCAUAACGACGACGUCCAAAGUACAUUUUUACACUCUUGACCUCGGAUCAGGUAGGGAUACCCGCUGAACUUAAGCAUAUCAAUAAGCGGAGGA
This 336-nucleotide unclassified non-coding RNA is filed under the name soil metagenome. Its description in RNAcentral is "partial contains 5.8S ribosomal RNA, internal transcribed spacer 2, and large subunit ribosomal RNA". The stretch from base 1 to 120 matches the Rfam family "5.8S ribosomal RNA", at positions 35 to 154 of the family's 154-position model. The record is from RNAcentral.